RNAcentral lists this ribosomal RNA (466 nucleotides) under uncultured bacterium. RNAcentral's name for it is "partial 16S ribosomal RNA". It matches the Rfam family "Bacterial small subunit ribosomal RNA", at positions 28 to 505 of the family's 1533-position model. The record is from RNAcentral.
GACGAACGCUGGCGGCGUGCUUAACACAUGCAAGUCGAACGGAAAGGCCCUGCUUUUGUGGGGUGCUCGAGUGGCGAACGGGUGAGUAACACGUGAGUAACCUGCCCUUGACUUUGGGAUAACUUCAGGAAACUGGGGCUAAUACCGGAUAGGAGCUCCUGCUGCAUGGUGGGGGUUGGAAAGUUUCGGCGGUUGGGGAUGGACUCGCGGCUUAUCAGCUUGUUGGUGGGGUAGUGGCUUACCAAGGCUUUGACGGGUAGCCGGCCUGAGAGGGUGACCGGCCACAUUGGGACUGAGGUACGGCCGAGACUCUUACGGGGGGCAGCAGGGGGGAAUGUGGCACAAGGGGCGGAGGCCUGAUGCAGCAACGCCGCGUGGGGGAGGGCGGCUUUCGGGGUGAAACCCGCUUUCGCCUGUGACGAAGGGUGAGUGACGGUAAGGGGUAAAGAAGCACCGGCUAACUACG